GUCAAAUUGUUUUUUUGUACUUAUGUUUCUUCGGCUAGUAAAUGGUCUAGGGAAGUGCGAAUCAUUGUUAUCAUUGUAGUGUAUAAGUGAUAUAAAUUUAAGAUACCAAUCGCUACAAUAUGUGGCGCUAAAACUAACUGUCGAAUCUCUUGUUAGAAAGACAAUAGUCUUUUUCAUUUGAUUUAAAUUUGAUAUCUCAUGUAUGGCCGCCAUUUUCUACUGGAAGUGAAAAAAAAAAAAUCUAGCACUUUUAUUGAAGUUAAUUUAAAAAAAAACGUACAUAAGCAAUUAAAUAAUUUAACUAAAAAAUAUAUACAAAAUCUGAGUUACGAAUUUGUUAAAUUACAUUAUUUCCAUCACUGCUUAAUUACGGUUAUAAAUAAUCAGGAAUUAAGUUAUAUAAAUCAACAAUACGAUAAAAAAUAACAAGAAUUGACAAAAUGAGCACUCCGCCAGAAAUUAUUGAUAUAACCAGCGACGAUGAAGCUAACGGUCCAGAUGUAGAGAACCAGGAUGAAGUUGUCCAGCAACAACAAGUAAAUAUAACUCCACCGGCUGCAAAAUUUACAUGUACGUUCUGCGAAGAAAAAUUUCCAACUCUGGGGUGUUUAAUAUUGCAUAAAUCCGUACAUAAAGUAUUUGGCCUAUAUUACUGUGAAAUAUGUCAAUAUAAAACAAUUCGAUCAGAUAGAAUAGACAUACAUCGAAAGAAACACAUGAAUAAAAAAUUAUAUAUAUGCUACCAUUGCGGCAUAUCAUACAAAUACAAAGCUUCAUUAGAAAAGCAUUUGAAGUCUUAUCGUGAUACCUAUUCACAAUUAAUUAAAGAUCACAAUGCAAGAAGGUCAUACAACACCAAGUAACCAACCCAUGAAUAGGAAAAUCAUGAUUAAGACAUUGAAAACGACUAUUUUUAAAAUUAAUUUUGUAAAAAUCAUUUACACAAAAAAUAAAAUUUUAUCUGUACUAACUAUAAUAAAAAGCUCACCAUUAAAUAAAAAUUAAAUAAUUUAAAACUAUUAAAAAUUUUGUCGAUUUAAAUCGAGUAAUUUAAAAUGUUAGAAAUAUUAAUUUAUAAAUAAAAAUAAGAACAGUAUUUUUAAAAUGAAAUUCUUUAAUUUAUUUACUUAUUUAUCACUUAAUUUUCAGUAAUUACUGAAGCUAAAUAAAUAGCCCUGAUAAUUAAAUCAGACUUUAAUUGUUAUAAUUUAUAUGUAUAUAAUUGUAUAGUUGGAUUAGCGAAACUGCGUUUCAUAUAUUUUCGGUUUUUACCACUAUCAUUUAAAUCUAAUAUCAAUGGCUUGCGCCUUGAUGGUGGGGGUAAGAAAUCAAAAAUAUCCGAAACGCAAACUCUCGAUGAUACUGAAGUCAGCCGACGUUUAAUAAUUUUUGGAUUUUUU
Long non-coding RNA from Microplitis mediator, 1400 nucleotides. RefSeq lists it as uncharacterized. The transcript is spliced from 4 exons. The record is from RefSeq and is a predicted model, not a curated record. Lineage: Eukaryota; Metazoa; Arthropoda; Insecta; Hymenoptera; Braconidae.